AGGACUGGCAACCCAAAGUAGAGCACUUCAAGGUUAAAGGGCCACUAAUGGCCAAAGAGCGGAGGAAAGGCAGGGGCAGGGGAGGGGCUGUGAACUCUGGAGCUGAAGCACAGGGCACAGCACAGCCGUGGGCCUCCAGCAAGAGUGGCAGACUACACACGCCACAUUAGAUCCCUUUCACAACGCUCUGGAUGACAUGAAGAUUAAGGAAGACAUUUUUGUGGGUGUGAAUUCAGAGAAAACAAACAGGAGGCUGCUCAGCAUUUCUCAGAUGCUUUUGCACCUGUGUCCGGGACAAGAGCCAGCCAGAAUGCACUUUUAAAUGAGAAAGCUGUAAUCAUCAGACAUCACUUACCUAGAUCCCCGAGAGAGAGGCAUUAAAUUGUAGAAGUAAUAAACCAAGGAUAAGAUCAAGUUGCAGACAGCAUCAGCCUCCUGGAAAAGGACACAGGCUCGUGAACUGAAGGCCAGCCCGACCGACACUCCGCAGGCGUGAGGGCUGCCGAAUCAGGAAAGGUGGUCCACGGUCCUCCUCUAAGAUCUGCCCUCAGUCCUCCAGCAAGAAGGAUUCCAGGAAGAAGGAGGCAGGUGGAGGUGGCACCCCCACACUCCUAGCAGGCAUGCAGAGGCCUCUCUCCUUCCCUCUGUGUCCCAGAUGAGCUGUGGCCAGGCGGGAGCAUCCCAAAGACCGUCACAUGUGAUGAUGUGUUUCUCACUCAGAUCACGUGAUGUGGAAAUUGACCAUAUUACCAUCUGAAAGUGACAGCAACAUCUACAACCCAGAGCUUCAAAAUGCCAGGUUCAAAAUGAUGACUUCGAAGGACUAAGGACUUCCUGGCCAACAGGUUAUACCCAGGGUGCUCAAGAUGCUGAUGUGACACACAGUUGCCUAGGUCUCAGGGACCACCCACCUGCUGCCUAGGUCCUGGGGACUACCCACCAGCACACAAAUGCCCACCCAAGGCAGAAUGACCCUCUCUUGGGUAAGAAACGUAUCUUCUAUAACAUCCUGCUCCAGGCCUCUUCCUCAAUCUCCCCGUGCCCCAUGACCAUGACUUACCUGUAGGCCUGCCCCAGGCUUUUAUAUGCAUCAAUAAAAUCAACUUUCUGCUUCAGAGCUU
Marmota monax (woodchuck) is the source of this 1121-nucleotide long non-coding RNA. RefSeq lists it as uncharacterized. Lineage: Eukaryota; Metazoa; Chordata; Mammalia; Rodentia; Sciuridae. The transcript is spliced from 3 exons. The record is from RefSeq and is a predicted model, not a curated record.